GUAAAGCUCUGUUGUUGGUGAAGAAGGAUAGAGGCAGUAACUGGUCUUUAUUUGACGGUAAUCAACCAGAAAGUCACGGCUAACUACGUGCCAGCAGCCGCGGUAAUACGUAGGUGGCAAGCGUUGUCCGGAUUUAUUGGGCGUAAAGCGAGCGCAGGCGGAAUGAUAAGUCUGAUGUGAAAGCCCACGGCUCAACCGUGGAACUGCAUCGGAAACUGUCAUUCUUGAGUGCAGAAGAGGAGAGUGGAACUCCAUGUGUAGCGGUGGAAUGCGUAGAUAUAUGGAAGAACACCAGUGGCGAAGGCGGCUCUCUGGUCUGCAACUGACGCUGAGGCUCGAAAGCAUGGGUAGCGAACAGGAUUAGAUACCCUGGUAGUCCAUGCCGUAAACGAUGAGCGCUAGGUGUUGGGGACUUUCCGGUCCUCAGUGCCGCAGCAAACGCAUUAAGCGCUCCGCCUGGGGAGUACGACCGCAAGGUUGAAACUCAAAGGAAUUGACGGGGGCCCGCACAAGCGGUGGAGCAUGUGGUUUAAUUCGAAGCAACGCGAAGAACCUUACCAGGUCUUGACAUCCUGCGCUACACCUAGAGAUAGGUGGUUCCCUUCGGGGACGCAGAGACAGGUGGUGCAUGGCUGUCGU
RNAcentral lists this ribosomal RNA (639 nucleotides) under Lactobacillus delbrueckii subsp. bulgaricus. Its description in RNAcentral is "bacterial SSU rRNA". It matches the Rfam family "Bacterial small subunit ribosomal RNA", at positions 425 to 1055 of the family's 1533-position model. The record is from RNAcentral. Lineage: Bacteria; Bacillati; Bacillota; Bacilli; Lactobacillales; Lactobacillaceae.